This is a long non-coding RNA of Nasonia vitripennis (jewel wasp), 544 nucleotides long. RefSeq lists it as uncharacterized. The transcript has 2 exons. The record is from RefSeq and is a predicted model, not a curated record. Lineage: Eukaryota; Metazoa; Arthropoda; Insecta; Hymenoptera; Pteromalidae.
CCUAUUGAAAAUGUUGUGCUCAAUUUUGCCAACCCUGAUGAAAAGAAAUACAUAUUUUUUGUAUGUAAUCAAAGUAUGUACCUCUGCAUGUACUAAUUUGGGUCCACAGUUGCAUACAUAAGUAUGCAAUAAAGGUACACACUGAAAAUACAUGCCAAAAAUACAUAUCUCGAUUGUGUGACGUUAUACUUUAAUUUGUUUAAAUAAUUUACAUCAAUAUGACAAUUAACAUAGACAUAUGACCUGUUUUUGGUGUUACUAUCCGCAUGAUACUUCGAUUAAUGUGCACUAGAUGUGUAAAAAGUUGUAUUUAUUAAGACUUUUUAAUUAUUUUAAUUUAACAGGACUUAAAAUUGAUAUGUAUUUUCAUUUUGUACCCUUAUUCCAUACUGUUGUAUGCAACUGUAGUCCCAAAUUUAUACAUGUAGAGGAAAACUAUGCCAUACUAUACUGUGUGUAUACCGAUUCUAACAUUUGGUAUGACUUGUUAAAAAAAAGUUAAUAAAAGUGUGUUCUAGUGGUAGAGUUAUGUAUUCAGCUAUAA